UCUUGUUUGUAAGUGUGUGCCAGUUGUCUCUCGUUCUCUCACUGGACACCACUGAGAAGAUUCUGUCUCCCUCUUCUUUACUUCCCUCCUGUUCCCUCACCAGUGUCCUGAGGAAGGAAGCUGAAAUGUGAAUAGGCCUCUCAUCCCAUAUAAAUUGUCUCUUGGCAGGGCUGUGAAGUUACUUUCCUAAAGGAAUGACGGACCUCCCUCAUUAGUAACCACAGGAACAUGUUGAUUUUCUACAUGCAACCUUUAUGCUAAAUUUGGUACUUCUUUUUGUUCAUCAGGAGAACAUGUUCUAUCUGUAUAUACAUCCAUUUAGUCAUUAUGUAGUCUGAUAUAACUUUAGUCAGCUUAUGACUAAAAAGUAAUUUAGAAAUUUGAUGAACAAUACAUUCACUGUUUACCCUAUUAUGAUUAUCCUCUUGUUUGUGUCUCUUGUCAAGAUGCAGUUGAGUGGAAUUUUCAACUCAAUUAAAAGCACAA
This is a long non-coding RNA of Oxyura jamaicensis (ruddy duck), 486 nucleotides long. RefSeq lists it as uncharacterized. The transcript is spliced from 3 exons. Lineage: Eukaryota; Metazoa; Chordata; Aves; Anseriformes; Anatidae. The record is from RefSeq and is a predicted model, not a curated record.